CCAUACUAAACUGAAAAGAAAAAAAAAACUAUAAUAAUGAUGAUGUUGAUGAUGAUAAACGCUCAACAACUUGGGGGUGAGUUGAGGCAGAAAACAGGAGGAGGACCACAUGAGUAAUAAUCAAAGGGAUUGCGAACCGCACAGCAGAAUCGAGAUCUACUAAUUUGUACGGAGCAGAGAACCUGGAAUUGACAAUGGAUAGCCAAAAUGUAGGAAUCAGGAUCCUAAAGCAAGUCUACGACUACGCAUGCACACAAUUCUCUAACGGCUUUAUUUUUUUGGUUAAUUCCUUAUGGGUUGGCAAGGGCAUCAUCA
This 315-nucleotide long non-coding RNA is filed under the name Gossypium barbadense (sea-island cotton). RNAcentral's name for it is "long non-coding RNA (GBAR_LNC010040)". Lineage: Eukaryota; Viridiplantae; Streptophyta; Magnoliopsida; Malvales; Malvaceae. The record is from RNAcentral.